This 497-nucleotide ribosomal RNA is filed under the name uncultured bacterium. Its description in RNAcentral is "partial 16S ribosomal RNA". It matches the Rfam family "Bacterial small subunit ribosomal RNA", at positions 28 to 507 of the family's 1533-position model. The record is from RNAcentral.
GAUGAACGCUGGCGGCGUGCCUAAUACAUGCAAGUCGAGCGAACAGACGAGGAGCUUGCUCCUCUUACGUUAGCGGCGGACGGGUGAGUAACACGUGGAUAACCCACCUAUAAGACUGGGAUAACUUCGGGAAACCGGAGCUAAUACCGGAUAAUAUAUUGAACCGCAUGGUUCAAUAGUUAAAGACGGUUUUGCUGUCACUUAUAGAUGGAUCCGCGCCGCAUUAGCUAGUUGGUAAGGUAACGGCUUACCAAGGCGACGAUGCGUAGCCGACCUGAGAGGGUGAUCGGCCACACUGGAACUGAGACACGGUCCAGACUCCUACGGGAGGCAGCAGUAGGGAAUAUUCCGCAAUGGGCGAAAGCCUGACGGAGCAACGCCGCGUGAGUGAUGAAGGUCUUCGGAUCGUAAAACUCUGUUAUUAGGGAAGAACAAAUGUGUAAGUAACUAUGCACGUCUUGACGGUACCUAAUCAGAAAGCCACGGCUAACUACGUG